RNAcentral lists this transfer RNA (87 nucleotides) under Ignavibacteria bacterium. Its description in RNAcentral is "tRNA-Ser". It matches the Rfam family "tRNA". Rfam says of the family: Transfer RNA (tRNA) molecules are approximately 80 nucleotides in length. Their secondary structure includes four short double-helical elements and three loops (D, anti-codon, and T loops). Lineage: Bacteria; Pseudomonadati; Ignavibacteriota; Ignavibacteria. The record is from RNAcentral.
AGAAAGUUGCUCGAGUGGUUGAAGAGGCACGCCUGGAACGCGUGUAAGGUGUCAAAGCCUUCGAGGGUUCGAAUCCCUCACUUUCUG